UGGAACUUACUAAUGAACAG
This 20-nucleotide microRNA is filed under the name Ciona intestinalis (vase tunicate). RNAcentral's name for it is "cin-miR-4001f-5p". The record is from miRBase by way of RNAcentral. Lineage: Eukaryota; Metazoa; Chordata; Ascidiacea; Phlebobranchia; Cionidae.